GAAGCGAACCUGGGGAACUGAAACAUCUAAGUACCCAGAGGAAAGGAAAGCAAUAGCGACUCCGUCAGUAGCGGCGAGCGAAAUCGGAUAGCGGUGAUGUCUGUGAAUGUGUUGGAAUGCACAAUCGAAGAUGGUGAAAAUCCAGUAGCAGAACGAGGCCGCAUAGCCCUCGAGUAUGCUCGGGCUCGUGGAACCCGG
RNAcentral lists this ribosomal RNA (198 nucleotides) under uncultured Florenciella. RNAcentral describes it as "partial Bacterial large subunit ribosomal RNA". It matches the Rfam family "Bacterial large subunit ribosomal RNA", at positions 176 to 436 of the family's 2925-position model. The record is from RNAcentral. Lineage: Eukaryota; Dictyochophyceae; Florenciellales.